Parus major (Great Tit) is the source of this 1581-nucleotide long non-coding RNA. RefSeq lists it as uncharacterized. The record is from RefSeq and is a predicted model, not a curated record. The transcript has 2 exons. NCBI's taxonomy places the organism in Eukaryota, Metazoa, Chordata, Aves, Passeriformes, Paridae.
GAAAGGUUUUCUCAUAUUUUAUAUAGAGAUUUUGUACAGAUUUGUUGGGUGAAAAGGAUAUCAGUCUAAUUCCUUGCACUAGGAUUGUAUUUUCUAUUCUGUAUUAAGAGCAAGCCGUAAAAUCCACAGUACACUGAAGUGCUCUUGUCUGAAGAGUGAACAGGUGUUAAUGCCUGGAAUCAGCCUGUGGGAUUUUGUUCAGCAGGAGGGAUCACCGCAGCUGCGUGGAUCAGCUACGCCUCCCACGAGUGAUGUCGGCACCUGAUGGGAGGAGAUGUGUCUGGAAGAACUGCACACCUCCACAACCUCCUCUGAAAAACCACUCUGGCUGUGUGCCCCGGGGUCAUCGUGCUGUGACAGGGACAGGGCCACUGUCUGUGCUUAGGCUGAUGACCAGACUGAGCAGGAAUCCACAGUUGGGCAGGACAUUGCUGGCAUAAACCUAAAUUUGGUUCUUGACUUGGUGCAGGAUUGGAAGAGGGAGGAGUGCUGCCUGGAAGAGGGAAAUAGGUGCUGUACUGAGUGCUUUGCUUGAAGGAGGAAGCACUUGUGACUCUGAAGUUCACAGAACUGCACUGACUAACUGGUAACAAGCUUCCCUGGCUGAGUAUCUGUCCUGUGGGCAGUCCUAGGGAACAUGUUGGUGUUGUGCCCUUGAGGGGACCAGCACAGGAGCUACUGUGCUUCACUUACUCUGUUUGUAGUACAGUUACUGAGUCUGAAGGACAAACACAGGUGACUGGGAAGAAGGCAGGUCUGGAAAAUUCCUCUUUUGUGCUUUGUUGCUGCUUGAUCCCAGUGGUUUGAUGUGCAAAUUCUCCUGUCCAUGACAAUACAAACUGGCAGACUCAUAUAAAAUGCAGUAAUAGUUGGGACACUCAGAGUGGGUGUACAAGAGCCUGGUGGAUUGUGUCCUAUAUACAAGUAGCAGUUAUGGAGUGAUUGUGCAUGUUGGUUUCUUCCUUUACUGAGAAUUUAUCUGAAUGCCAGGGCAGGAACUGCUUGCUUUGGUAGCAAAGAGAUACUCCAGACUGGGGAGGGGAUUUCACAUGCUUCUGACCCAAAAGCUGCAGCUGAUUUUACAGGUGUGUGUAUCUCUGGUUUGGAUGUUUGUUAUUGUAUUAUAUAUAAAAACUGGCUCAUGCAGAAACUUCAUGAAGGCUGGUGUGGUUGUGGGAUGCGCUGGAUGAGGAGCUGAUUCAGCCUAAAACGGUUUUGGUUUUAUUUACGCAGUUUUUUUCCUCUGUACUUUCUGCUUUGUUGAUUUGUUAAUUUCUAAGCUCAUGGAGACCACGAUAUUGAUGUUAUAUUUCCCAGAUAUUUCCCUGUGCAGAACUGCCCUUUGAGAUACUCAUACUUGUCAAAAGCCUUGCUCCUGAAAGGGAAACCCCAUGUGAGCUUUUAUGGAAAAGUCUUCGGUGAGGUGUCACAUGAAGGGAAAAAAGGGACCUGAUGGGAAACAUGGAAACACCUCAGGAAGAGAAGUGUCUUUUUAGCUGACAGCAGCUGCUUUGAAGCACACUAGAGUCUUGCUGCAUGUUUUCAGCUCCUUUCUGGAUGGCAUGUUACAGCUCGGAUUGG